UCCCUGAUGGUCCAGUGGCUAGGAAUCUGCACUUUCACUGCAGAGGGUACAGGUUAGAUCCCUGGUCAGGGAA
Molecule: transfer RNA, 73 nt
Filed under: Bos taurus (domestic cattle)
Lineage: Eukaryota; Metazoa; Chordata; Mammalia; Artiodactyla; Bovidae
Also listed under: 4 other names
Rfam family: tRNA
About the family: Transfer RNA (tRNA) molecules are approximately 80 nucleotides in length. Their secondary structure includes four short double-helical elements and three loops (D, anti-codon, and T loops).
Source: Rfam by way of RNAcentral